RNAcentral lists this ribosomal RNA (468 nucleotides) under uncultured bacterium. RNAcentral describes it as "partial 16S ribosomal RNA". It matches the Rfam family "Bacterial small subunit ribosomal RNA", at positions 28 to 507 of the family's 1533-position model. The record is from RNAcentral.
GACGAACGCUGGCGGCGUGCUUAACACAUGCAAGUCGAACGGAAAGGCCCGGCUUUUGCUGCUUGCUCGAUUGGCGCACGGGUGAGUAACACGUGUGUAACCUGCCCUUGACUGUCGGAUAACUUCAGGAAACUGGGGCUAUUACCGGAGAUGAUCUCUUGCUGCAUGGUGGGGGUUGGAGAGUGACGGCGGUGGGGGAUAGUCUCGCUGCUUACCCGCUUGUUAGUGAGGUAGUGGCUUACGAAGGCUUCGACGGAUAGCCGGCCUGGGAGGGUGGCCGGCCACCUUGGGACUAAGGUACGGCGCAGAAUCCAAUGGGAGGCAAUAGUGGAGAAUAUUACGGAGUGAGCGGGAGCCUGAUGUGGCAGCGCCGCGUGCGUGAUGCCGUGCUUCGAGUUAUAAACCGAUUUCGAAGGUAACGAAGCGUGAGUGACGGUAAUGGGUAAGGAAGCAACGGCUAACUACGUG